Molecule: ribosomal RNA, 429 nt
Filed under: Acidobacteriota bacterium
Lineage: Bacteria; Pseudomonadati; Acidobacteriota
Description: Acidobacteria bacterium partial 16S ribosomal RNA
Rfam family: Bacterial small subunit ribosomal RNA
Source: RNAcentral
UGGGGAAUUUUGGACAAUGGGGGAAACCCUGAUCCAGCCAUCCCGCGUGUGCGAUGAAGGCCUUCGGGUUGUAAAGCACUUUUGGCAGGAAAGAAACGUCAUGGGUUAAUACCCCGUGAAACUGACGGUACCUGCAGAAUAAGCACCGGCUAACUACGUGCCAGCAGCCGCGGUAAUACGUAGGGUGCAAUCGUUAAUCGGAAUUACUGGGCGUAAUGCUUGCGCAGGCGGUUCGGAAAGAAAGAUGAGAAAUCCCAGAGCUCAACUUUGGAACUGCAUUUUUAACUACCGGGCUAGAGUGUGUCAGAGGGAGGUGGAAUUCCGCGUGUAGCAGUGAAAUGCGUAGAUAUGCGGAGGAACACCGAUGGCGAAGGCAGCCUCCUGGGAUAACACUGACGCUCAUGCACGAAAGCGUGGGGAGCAAACAGG